This 1093-nucleotide long non-coding RNA is filed under the name Coturnix japonica (Japanese quail). RNAcentral describes it as "lncRNA (ENSCJPG00005003930.1)". Lineage: Eukaryota; Metazoa; Chordata; Aves; Galliformes; Phasianidae. The record is from RNAcentral.
AAGCGAGCAACCUGACUCACUGACGAAGCUGGAUUAGGAAUAUAUUCCCGAGGCAGCAAUCAGUGAGUGCAAAUGGCUGGGACGAAUGGAGAGUGUUGCUCAUUCACCCCGCAGAGCGGCUGGACAGAGCGAGCCCCAUCACUGCCCAUCCUGAUGGGGUCACAGGAUAAACCCUCGUAGCAUCAUACCCGGUUGUGCAGGGGACACAACAGCAGUGCAGACCGACCCCCUGCCUCACUCAUUCCACACCCGGUGCAUUCGCGCUCCCACCCGCGUCACCGCUUUUCCACCCAGCAACGCGGCGACGUCACAGCCGUGAACCAAUGGGGAGGCGCGGGGCGGGGCCCGUGGGGAGCGUUGCGGCUUUAGCGCUGCCGCGCGUGGGCGAUGGGGGUUUGUGUCCCCCGUGCUUCGCUGCCCAGCGCUUUGUUCCGCCGUUCCGUGUGCAUCGUUUGUGCUCUGUCCGUGUCGCUCCUGUGCUACUGACGGCGAGUGUUGAAAUAAUGGUUAGCGCAGCCAAAAUAGCUCCGCUUUGUGUAUCUGUAUUUCCAUUGCGAAGCGUGAACUUCAUGUCACAAGGGAAACAGGUCCUUGAGCAUAUCUGAAAAGUCUGCAAAAGAGUCAGAUGUUCUGAUGCUGCUCUUAUCAAACGUGAGUUACAGGCAGUGCUUUGCUGUGGUCUCCUCUGGUAAGCAAUGAGCCCCUUCUGCUGCAAUUCCAGAGCUGUAGAGGAUGGUGAGGGACACAGAUGGUCUCACAAAGUAUUCAGAGGGAGCUGCAGUUUACAUACUUACUGCCCACAUGUUCACCACAGAAGAAUGAGAUAGGAAACAAAGAAAAGCAAUUUCAAAGCUGAAUUUAAAAAGCUCAGGUUUUCUUUCUAAACCAAACUGCCCCUUUCUAUACUCUCUUUUUGCCAUCUAUUUCAAAACAGAACUGCACUGGGACCCCCAGCUGGGCAUUCCAAGUCAAUCUCCUUUCCCUGUUCUGUUAGUACUCCUUGAAUUCAGUUCCUUGGUGAUUAUGGUUUCAGCAUUGCACUAGGGAGCGAUCAGGGAAUAAAUCUUUCCUUCUCUGUGGUUUGGUGUGUCUU